Molecule: ribosomal RNA, 433 nt
Filed under: uncultured bacterium
Lineage: Bacteria
Description: partial 16S ribosomal RNA
Rfam family: Bacterial small subunit ribosomal RNA
Source: RNAcentral
AACGAACGCUGGCGGCAUGCCUAACACAUGCAAGUCGAACGAUACCUUCGGGUCUCGUGCCGCACCGGUGCGUAACGCGUGGGGACCUGCCCUUAGGUUCGGAAUAACUUCCCGGAAGGGGUGCUCAUACCGGAUAAUGUCUUCGGACCACAGAUGUAUCGCCUUUGGAUGGGCGCGCGUUGGAUUAGCUGGUUGGUCGGGUAAAACCCUACCAAGGCGCCGAUCCCUAGAUGGUCUGAGAGGAAGAGCAGCCACACUUGGACUGAGACACGGCGCAGACUCUUACGGGAGGCAGGAGAGGGGAAUAUUGGAAAAUGGGGGGAAGGAUGAUGGAGCUAUGCUGGGUGAGUGAUGAAGGCCUGAGGGAAGGAAAGCUCGUUUAUCCCGGAUGAUAAUGACAGUACCGGGAGAAUAAGCGCCGGCUAACUCCGUG